GCAAACUUGGUCAUUUAGAGGAAGUAAAAGUCGUAACAAGGUCUCCGUAGGUGAACCUGCGGAGGGAUCAUUACCGAGUGAGGGCCUCCGGGCUCGAUCUCCCACCCUUUGACAAACGUCCGGUUUGCCUCGGGGGUGACCCGGCUCUCACAAAAAGGCCGGGUGCUCCCGGAGGGAUUCCUACUCUGCAUCUUUGCGUCGGAGUCGAACGGAAAAAUUAAAUGAAAACUUUCAACAACGGAUCUCUUGGUUCUGGCAUCGAUGAAGAACGCAGC
RNAcentral lists this unclassified non-coding RNA (275 nucleotides) under uncultured fungus. RNAcentral's name for it is "partial contains small subunit ribosomal RNA, internal transcribed spacer 1, and 5.8S ribosomal RNA". The stretch from base 1 to 73 matches the Rfam family "Eukaryotic small subunit ribosomal RNA", at positions 1759 to 1831 of the family's 1831-position model. The record is from RNAcentral. Lineage: Eukaryota; Fungi.